UUCCGGUUGAUCCUGCCGGCGGGCACCGCUAUCGGUAUGCGAUUAAGGCAUGCGAGUCGAGAGGUGCAAGACCUCGGCUGACGGCUGAGUAACACGCGGAUAACCUGCCCUGAAGUGGAGGAUAAUCUCGGGAAACUGAGGAUAAUACUCCAUAGGUGUGGUAUGCUGGAAUGCUUCCACGCUUAAAGCUCCGGCGCUUCAGGGUGGGUCUGCGGCCUAUCANGCUGUAGUGGGUGUAACGGACCCACUAACCUACGACGGGUAGGGGCGUUGAGAGACGGAGCCUCCAGAUGGAUUCUGAGACACGAAUCCAGGCCCUACGGGGCG
RNAcentral lists this ribosomal RNA (327 nucleotides) under uncultured archaeon. Its description in RNAcentral is "bacterial SSU rRNA". It matches the Rfam family "Archaeal small subunit ribosomal RNA", at positions 1 to 332 of the family's 1478-position model. The record is from RNAcentral.